RNAcentral lists this transfer RNA (82 nucleotides) under Blyttiomyces helicus. It matches the Rfam family "tRNA". Rfam says of the family: Transfer RNA (tRNA) molecules are approximately 80 nucleotides in length. The record is from Rfam by way of RNAcentral. Lineage: Eukaryota; Fungi; Chytridiomycota; Chytridiomycetes.
GACACGAUGGCCGAGUGGUUAAGGCGAUGGACUUGAAAUCCAUUAGGGUUCCCCUGCGCAGGUUCGAACCCUGCUCGUGUCG